UACGUAGGGGACAAGCGUUAUCCGGAAUUACUGGGUGUAAAGGGUGCGUAGGUGGUAUGGCAAGUCAGAAGUGAAAACCCAGGGCUUAACUCUGGGACUGCUUUUGAAACUGUCAGACUGGAGUGCAGGAGAGGUAAGCGGAAUUCCUAGUGUAGCGGUGAAAUGCGUAGAUAUUAGGAGGAACAUCAGUGGCGAAGGCGGCUUACUGGACUGAAACUGACACUGAGGCACGAAAGCGUGGGGAGCAAACAGG
RNAcentral lists this ribosomal RNA (253 nucleotides) under Anaerostipes hadrus ATCC 29173 = JCM 17467. Its description in RNAcentral is "Anaerostipes hadrus DSM 3319 partial 16S ribosomal RNA". It matches the Rfam family "Bacterial small subunit ribosomal RNA", at positions 524 to 776 of the family's 1533-position model. The record is from RNAcentral. Lineage: Bacteria; Bacillati; Bacillota; Clostridia; Lachnospirales; Lachnospiraceae.